Molecule: transfer RNA, 82 nt
Filed under: Mycoemilia scoparia
Lineage: Eukaryota; Fungi; Kickxellomycota; Kickxellomycetes; Kickxellales; Kickxellaceae
Rfam family: tRNA
About the family: Transfer RNA (tRNA) molecules are approximately 80 nucleotides in length. Their secondary structure includes four short double-helical elements and three loops (D, anti-codon, and T loops).
Source: Rfam by way of RNAcentral
GUCACUAUGGCCGAGUGGUUAAGGCGUGUGACUAGAAUUCACAUGGGAUUUUCCCGCACAGGUUCAAAUCCUGUUGGUGACG